Molecule: ribosomal RNA, 253 nt
Filed under: uncultured prokaryote
Description: partial 16S ribosomal RNA
Rfam family: Bacterial small subunit ribosomal RNA
Source: RNAcentral
ACAGAGGGGGCAAGCGUUGCUCGGAAUCACUGGGCGUAAAGGGCGCGUAGGCGGGAUGGCAAGUCGGUCGUGAAAUCCUUCGGCUCAACCGAAGAACGUCGGCCGAUACUGCCGUUCUUGAGGGAUGCAGAGGAGAUUGGAAUUCCCGGUGUAGCGGUGAAAUGUGUAGAGAUCGGGAGGAACACCGGUGGCGAAGGCGACUGUCUGGGGAGCAACUGACGCUGAGGCGCUAAAGCUGGGGGAGCAAACGGGA